CCCACCCUUAAUUUAACCGGAGUCACCAGUCAGCUCCUGAGGCAUAAACAGGCAGCUGAAGCACCGCGCGUAGGCUGACUUUAGUGCUGGAUGCCGAGCAGCGCUUGGCACAGGUGGAGGAGUUUUCAUCACAGACCCAAAUUAACUCCGGUGAAGUUGUUCCGCGCCUGCCAGUGCCGGAGGAGCAAUCUCCGUGUGGGAGAAGCGCCCAGCGCGCCGCCCUCCCCUCCCGGCGCCGCUCGCCCGAACAAAGGCGGCAGCGCCGGGUCCCCUUUGUGCGCCGCGGGCCGGGCACGGAGCGAUCCCAGUGCCCGCCCCGGGCUCCCAGCACGGUCCGGCCCGGCACGGCACGGCCCGGCACAGCUCAGCUCAGCUCAGCUCAGCUCAGCACAGCACAGCACAGCACAGCAGCGCGUCGGGAGGAAGCGCCGGCUGCGCGGCGGGCGGGCGGCUGCCCGGGCCCUGCCCGCCCCCGUCUCCUCCCCUCGGCCGCCGAUUCUCCGCCCCCUCCGCCCUCUCCUCGCGGCGGCGGCGGUGCCUUCCUCGGCCCCGGCUCCUCCGGCUCUCCACGGCUUCGCCUCGCUCCGCUCCGGGGGCUCCCGCGCCGCGCUGCCCAGCACGGGGAAAGCGUAUGGCCCGGGAGAAAGCCGCUGGAAGCGAUAG
This 663-nucleotide long non-coding RNA is filed under the name Junco hyemalis (dark-eyed junco). RNAcentral's name for it is "lncRNA (ENSJHYG00000012682.1)". Lineage: Eukaryota; Metazoa; Chordata; Aves; Passeriformes; Passerellidae. The record is from RNAcentral.